GGUGGAUCAAAGCUCCGGCGGCAUAGGAUGGGCCUGCGGCGUAUCAGGUUGUAGGGGGUGUAACGUACCCUCUAGCCAUCAACGCGUACGGGUGUUGGGAGACAUAGCCCGGAGAUGGAUUCUGAGACACGAAUCCAGACCCUACGGGGUGCAGCAGGCGCGAAAACUUGGCAAUGCGAGAAAUCGUGACCAGGGAACUCCAAGUGGCUGGGGUAAGACCCAGUCUUUUCUUGACUCUUAAACGGUCUUGGAAUAAGGGGUGGGUAAGGACGGUGCCAGCCGCCGCGGUAAUACCGGCGCCUCAAGUGGUAGUCGAUUUUAUUGGGCCUAAAACGUCCGUAGCCUGUUUGGUACAUUCGUGGGUAAAUCAACCAGCUUAACUGAUUGAAUUCUGCGAGCACGGCCAGACUUGGGACCGGGAGAGGUGUGGGGUACGCUCAGGGUAGGGGUAAAAUCCUGUCAUCCUGAGCGGACCACCUGUUGCGAAGGCGCCACACUAGAACGGAUCCGACGGUCAGGGACGAAGCCUAGGGGCACGAACCGGAUUAGAUACCCGGGUAGUCCUAGGUGUAAACGCUGUGGACUUGGUGUUGGGGAUUCUCCGAGGAUCCUCAGUGCCGAAGCGAAGGUGAUAAGUCCACUGCCUGGGGAGUACGGUCGCAAGGCUGAAACUUAAAGGAAUUGGCGGGGGAGCACCGCAACCUGAGGAUUGUGCGGUUUAAUUGGACUCAACGCCGGGA
This 740-nucleotide ribosomal RNA is filed under the name uncultured Candidatus Poseidoniales archaeon. RNAcentral describes it as "bacterial SSU rRNA". It matches the Rfam family "Archaeal small subunit ribosomal RNA", at positions 182 to 923 of the family's 1478-position model. The record is from RNAcentral. Lineage: Archaea; Methanobacteriati; Thermoplasmatota; Candidatus Poseidoniia; Candidatus Poseidoniales.